This 253-nucleotide ribosomal RNA is filed under the name uncultured bacterium. RNAcentral's name for it is "partial 16S ribosomal RNA". It matches the Rfam family "Bacterial small subunit ribosomal RNA", at positions 524 to 776 of the family's 1533-position model. The record is from RNAcentral.
GACGAACCGUCCAAACGUUAUUCGGAAUUACUGGGCUUAAAGGGUGCGUAGGCGGCGCGGAAAGUUGGGUGUGAAAUCCCUCGGCUCAACCGAGGAACUGCGCCCAAUACUACCGUGCUUGAGGGAGAUAGAGGUGAGCGGAACUUAGGGUGGAGCGGUGAAAUGCGUUGAUAUCAUCAGGAAUACCGGAGGCGAAGGCGGCUCACUGGGGGUUAUCUGACGCUGAGGAACGAAAGCCAGGGGAGCGAACGGG